UAGCGUCGCCUGGCUCGCGCGCGCUUCUGGAGCUCUCGUGAGAGCCAAGCUGAGCCAAGCUGAGCUGAGCUGAGCUGAGCUGAGCUGAGCCGAACCGAGUCGAGCCGAGCUCUUCGGUUAGUCGCGAGUCGCCAACUCGUUGUACGGUCGCGUCAAACUUAGCCGGGGAUUCCGUGUCGUCCCUGAAGACGUUAUCCCGACGUAGUGCUACCCAAGAACUACACUUAGACGUUGUUGUUGUUGUUUCAUUCGAGGAAAGUGCUGCAGGGAGAAGAGCUACCAAAAAGAAGAAGAAGAAGAAGAAGAAGACAAAGACGAAGAAGAAGAAACAGUGUCUGGGACGAUGCGCGCGAGAACUGGAGGAAGGUCCGGUGUUCUAUCGUCGAAGGUCGUCCUCGAAGUGAUAAGGAUAUACGUGGAGGAAACUUGUCAGUUGCAGCUAGUUUGCCCGCUGCGAAGGACCGACUGAGUCUGCACCAUCGACGGGGAAUAGGGUGAAUUCGCUGAUUAAGGAACCCAUUAGUUACGGAAGAACGGAAGAAAGAAAGCUGAGGUGGUCGCAUAACGGACCUGCAAGACUUUAUAAUGUAGGAAGAGAGUUUGCCUACGGUAGAUGUUUUAUGUGGUGUUGAACGUUCUUCUCCACCUAGACACUGUGCGCGCGAGUUUUGAGCGACGGCUACAGCAGAUGCCCCGAUUCGUACAAUAAUUAUUACACUUUACUAUUAUACUUAUCCAGUAAAGGACUACCUAUUCACGGAAGGGAUUCGUGGCCAAACAAUAACCACGCUCGGUUUAGCUGCUUACACCGUUGCUCUAUCGAUUGAAUUCCGGCGCGCCAAAAAAGAGAGGAUGUUAAACUGAUGAUGAUGACGAGGAUCGAGGAUUAGUGAGGUGGUGGCUCGUUAAUCGACGGUUAUCGUCACACCACCACAACAUGUGGGAUCCUCUGAUUACCGGUGUGCUCUGAUAAUAAAAAAAAAAAUAAAGAAAUAAAACAGAAGAUGAGAGCAAACCCUGCUUUCGAUUAAUCAGCGAUAAAGUGGUGCUUAUGGUGUGAAAACCCAACUGCCGAUAUAUACAGUCCUUUGACAUUAUUCACUUUCGUUUCUAGUAUUUAUGUUUUUUCAAAACACGAGCUGCUUUUCUAACUUCUAAUCAAUUUGCCUCGGUUGAAUUGAUCGAAGCUCCGUAUAAAGCAAUUGCACAGGAGCAAUAUACAAAGACACACUGCCCUAAUAAGAUUUUUUAUCAAUAAUAAUAACGAUAAUAAUACCAGUAAUAUUAAUAAUAAAAAGUUUAAAUCACAACGCUGCAGAGAGAUUAUUCCGCAAAACCGUGAGAGAUGUAGUUCGUCGUGAUAGCUACGCGGAAAUGCCCGUUUAUGAGGAUUGCCUGGGUUUUGAGGUGUCACUGAUCAUCGGUGGCGUCAUUACCACCUCGACGCGCUGUGAUUUUGUUCUGGAUACAAUAUACACCCUAAUGGAUAGAAGCUAAUGCUCGUCCUGGAGUCAGACUUACACGUAGCGUAAGGUACAGGAACGCCUAUACUGCAUACGUACACGUAAUAGGCUUGCGGAAUUGUUGUUCGUGCGGUAUGUUCUGCUGAACAACGGUGGUGCGACCCACGUGUGUGUUUCAACGAUCCUCUCCGAUAUGUCUGGGGCAACGUCAACGUCGUACACGUCGCCGGGCUCUUCGUCCGGGAAAUUUUCGGGCCGGCUUCUGCAGUCCAGCGACCAGGUCUGGUAAUUCCCGACCGGCUAAGUUAAGGGUGAAACGGGCCGUGAGGGUGAAGGAGGUUCGAGGAUCGCGAUGGCAUCGGUCGCCGCCUGGUUGCCGUUCGCUCGAGCAGCGGCCAUAGGAUGGGUGCCGAUCGCUACGCACCCCUUACCGCCUCCGCCGAUACCGAAAGACCGGCGAAAAGCAGACGACGAAAAGCUCCUGAUAAAUGUGAGCGGCCGACGGUUCGAGACCUGGCGUAACACCCUAGAGAAAUAUCCUGACACCCUGCUCGGUUCUAACGAGCGGGAGUUCUUCUACGACGAGGACACCAAGGAGUACUUCUUCGACCGUGAUCCGGACAUAUUCCGGCAUAUAUUGAACUACUACAGGACCGGCAAGCUCCAUUAUCCCAAGCACGAGUGUCUCACAAGCUAUGACGAGGAGUUGGCGUUCUUUGGUAUCCUGCCGGACGUUAUCGGCGAUUGUUGCUACGAGGAUUACAGGGACCGUAAAAGAGAGAACGCCGAACGACUGAUGGACGAUAAACUGAGCGAGAACGGUGACCAAAAUCUUCAACAGUUGACGAACCUACGGCAAAAAAUGUGGCGGGCUUUUGAAAAUCCGCAUACAUCAACGGCUGCGCUUGUGUUUUACUAUGUGACGGGAUUCUUCAUAGCCGUCAGCGUGAUGGCGAACGUUGUUGAGACCGUACCUUGCGGACACAGACCCGGGCGUGCCGGUACCUUGCCCUGUGGUGAACGGUACAAGAUAGUUUUCUUCUGCUUGGACACUGCUUGCGUAAUGAUAUUCACCGCCGAGUAUCUUUUGAGGCUUUUCGCGGCACCGGAUCGGUGCAAAUUCGUUAGGUCCGUGAUGUCGAUAAUCGACGUUGUCGCUAUACUGCCGUACUACAUUGGACUCGGUAUAACCGACAACGAUGACGUCUCAGGGGCGUUCGUUACCCUCCGUGUCUUCAGGGUGUUCAGAAUCUUCAAGUUCUCCCGUCACUCCCAGGGGCUACGGAUCCUGGGCUACACUCUUAAAUCCUGUGCCUCUGAACUCGGGUUUUUGGUGUUCUCGUUGGCUAUGGCCAUCAUCAUAUUCGCUACCGUUAUGUUCUACGCCGAGAAAAAUGUCGAGGGUACAAACUUCACAUCGAUUCCAGCCGCCUUCUGGUACACCAUUGUCACCAUGACGACCCUAGGGUACGGUGACAUGGUACCGGAAACGAUCGCUGGAAAAAUCGUCGGAGGCGUGUGUUCUCUCAGCGGAGUUUUGGUCAUAGCCUUGCCAGUGCCGGUUAUCGUCAGCAACUUCAGUCGCAUUUAUCACCAGAAUCAGCGUGCUGACAAGAGAAAAGCGCAGAGGAAAGCUAGAUUGGCCAGGAUUCGCAUCGCCAAAGCCUCCAGCGGAGCGGCAUUUGUCAGCAAGAAGAAAGCCGCCGAGGCUCGCCUCGCCGCCCAGGAAAGCGGACUCGAUCUUGAAGACAACUACAGGGAGGAGGACAUCUUCGAACUACAGCAUCAUCAUCUGUUACGCUGCCUGGAAAAAACUACGGAUCGCGAGUUCGUGGAGAUGGAGGUGCCAUUCAACGGAGCCCCGAAGAGGCCCGGAUCUCCGUCCCCGCUGACGUCGCCAGCUCACAGCACGGCGUCACGUGGAGGGCUGCUGCGUUCCUGCUGCGGCAGGUGUUACCCUCAGCGAUAUCAGGAUCGACGCGUGUCACCCGAGGAUGGAAGGAAGGAACGUCGCGUAAGUAAAUGUCGACACGCGAUCUGCAACAGAUGAUCACGAUGUGUGUACUCACAGUGUCAUGUUGUUCUUGUGAAAAAGCCACCUUCCCAGUAAGCCAUACGUGUUGCAUAUCGUACGUUGUACUCAAUGCGAGGCAAAGUAAUAAUAAUAAAUUAUAAAGUAGCGCUAGUAUCCAAGUAUCAUUCCUCAUUCUCGGUGUGCAGACAAACAUUAAAGUGUAUACAAUGACCAGAAACCUUCAGGCACUGUCUUUGGUCCAACUGUUGCUGUACACUCCACUGUAUACGUCUGUGUUCACAGUUCCUUUACGUACAUCGACAGCGAUCUAAUAUUUAUCAUAUUACUUCUAUAAUUACUAAAAUCGACCGAGGGCUUAGCGCACCCUCGAGAUACCCAGGUGAGAUAAGAAACUGUAUCUAUCUUAACGGGCAGUUAUCGAAGACCUAAGCAUUAACCCAAAAUUAGCACGUCGUUCCUGGUGAUAAUUUAUAUUGGGACACAUUAUACACCCUAAAUUCCGUAGGAUAUUCGAUAACUGUUGAAUUGGAUCAUCCGCGUUAUUUGCGCAACAACACUUCGCCAGUCAAAAUUUACACGUGACAUUAUCUACACACUGUUUAUUCCCCGGGAUUGUUUCACGGCAAUCCUUACAGGAUUACUCUAACCCGUUUUGCAAUCCUUCGAGUCCACUCUGUGACCCGGAAUUCUGGGCAUUGAAAUCCUCUCUUCAAACUUGUGCCCAUCCUACCGCACCACUGAUUUCUAUCGAGUUAUAGGCGGCUCCCUCCCGGGGGCUUAUUUAAAGUAGGCCAUCGCCUCUAUCUUCGAAUCGUACAACUUCGGGUCACCAGUGAUAAAAAGUGACUGGCAACGCGUUCUGCGCCCGGUGAUGUAAGCUGAUACGUGUGGUCGUCACAGGGGUGACCAAGGAUCGGGAAAGCUAAACGAUUUGUUUACGGGUGAGUUCAGGUAAACUCGCAGACUGGCCUUUCUAUGUUUGUCUAGUUUCCCGUCCUCAGCAGUCAAACUUUACCGUCACCUGUGACCUCGUCACAAUGGAGGCGCAACCACUCGGAAUGUAGAAAAUUAACACCGCUGGUUGUGAGUAAUAUCGUGCAGAACGCUAAAACGUUCGGUCCGGUGCACAAUGCUCGUUGUGGAGCCGGAUUUAUCGUUGACCGUACCUCGAAGUUUCACGUCAUCGUCCAUCGGCACGGUGCUUCAGGCUCAAUCAGAGUCUCUUCUGUGUUAACUUCUCUGUGCUUUGGCGUAACUCAAAAGCCAAUUUUGGCGGUUAAAUAGGUAGAAGGAAUGCAGUUCUUUGACUCUGUUCAAGCGACCUAUACGUUCUAACGUUAUUUUUCUCCUACAAAUUCACAGGGUGAAGUCUGAUCUGACAUGCCGGUUCCGUCAUUCGACAAAGCGUAUGGGUUCCGUUAUUUCAGAAACGUGAGGACGACGCGCCAAUUACACAGUCAAGAACGGAGAGACAUCUUCAUCGGGUCCGACGUUAAUUGCCAUCUGUGCGAUGGACAAAGAGACUCGGCGAGAAAAACGAGGAGUAUCUCUUUAGACGUGGAUGCGAAUGAAAUCGAUAUAGCAGGAGGGAUAAUGGGAUCACCGGUCAUUCUUUACCGUCAGAUGAGACAGUCCCAUAUAAUCCUCUCCUUUCAGCUAUUGUCGUUGUGAUGUCAUUGGUGAUGCGUUACUAUCGCCAUUCGAUGGUCGUCAGAACGGAAUGGACUUGAAACGUUUCCACGAUAAAGACGGAUCUGCGGGGAAUUUGCGAAUUGUCAUAUUAAUUGUAGUUGACUUAGUGCAUUCCGGACACUAUAAUACCAACGAAUAAAAGAUGAGAUCCGCCUCGUGGUCUUUUUUACCUUUGCAUCCGUCGAUAAGGACCGGGUGGACAUAAAGUCUGCUGCUCGGUUCGCCAUGGGUCCUUUCAGUCCCAAUUGAAUUAAGUAGGAAAUCAUAUCUCGCCAUCCUCCCUCCCGAACAACGUGCGCACGGUACUUCAACGCGCGGCCAUCAAAUUCUGUUUCCUAACCUAGGUAAUAAUACUGGAGCCCCGUGAAGGGGAUAAAGAAGUAUCAACUUCUUUCACUUCUUCGAACAUUCCACCCCACUUUCAUCAUUUACCACUGUCUGAGCUCCUCACGACAGAAAGAUUAUGUAGUGUAGGUCUAGGCGUAUCAUUUAGGCGCAGCGAGUUUUUUGGGGGGUGGAAAUCGGGCCGAGUUAUAGUGGAUCGAGGAGAAUGAUUACCGGGAAGAAACGGUGAAAGUUAGUAGAUUGAACGUCAGACUGCGCAUGCGCGAGCUUUAUCGGAUUUUCAUGCAGGCUGGCCACCUCAAGCUUCUGCUGUCACAAUUGACUUACGAAGAUUGUGUGCAGGGUGAUUCGAACUUUUUGCUCGGUUAAGUAGAUCUCUCAUGCUUCAUGUAGCUAUUCCGAAAGUCUUGGGAAACUUUUAUUGUUAACCGAAUUACGGCUGAUGGCCAAGUACGAGUCACUAGAACAACAUAAUUUCAAGUCACCACUUAACGCGGGAGAGUUUCACAUUUCGUACCACUUUUUGAGUAAGUUGGCACUCCUGCCUUGCACACUCGGUAAAAACAUUGCCGCGAUACGAUCUUACCCGCAAAUAGAUCUAAUCAUUUUUCGUAUGCACGGUCAGUCACUCAACCCGCUAUGUUUCACCGUAUGUACAGUAGAGAGCGAAUGACGAGUCGAGAGUGAGAGACAGAGAGAGAGAGAGAGAGAGAGAGAGAGAGAGAGAGAGAGAGAGAGAGAGAGAGAGAGAGAGAGAGAGAGUGUGCGAAAGGGCGAGGAAGGUAGUGUGCGAAUGGGGGGAUGAACGUGGUGGGAAAUAUGGAAUGCGAGAGAAAGAGGAGAACCGACGAAGCUCUAGCGGCCGACAAUGUAGCGUGUGCUUUGGGUGUGGAUUUCAGCAGGCGUACAGUCAGUACAUCCCGGCGACUAGGGCCCAGGUUUCGGGCGGCCCAGGCGGCGGGCAGACGGGGGUCGCCAUGGACGGCACGUAUCUGGUCGAGGCCUCGUUUUGAACGAGGAGAGCGCUUCUCGUAGACACGUCUUCCUCGUAAAUCCCACCGCCUAAGAGAAAAGAAAAGAAUGACGAAAAGACGGAAAGAUUUGAAAACAAAAAAAAAAAAAAAAAUAAUAACAAAUGAAAAGAAAUAAACUACAGGAACACGUACAAACAUUAUACGUUUUAAGAAACAUCAUGCACUCACAGAUCAACGAAUACACCCGAGUCACACAUUAUACACGCACACACGUACGCACAUUCGAAUAAAACAAAAAAAAAAAAUAACGACACCAAAAAAUCAUGCAUACAUACAUACAUAUACAUGUAUACGUAUAACGAAAAAUAAAAAUGAAGAUACGAUUAAAAAUUUCAUUAAAUAAGGAAAACCGAGAGACCGGAUGUGCGGAGACACGCAGACGUUGCAUAACGUAAUAAAUUUAGAACAUUGCAACGAGACAACAAAAAAAAAAACAAACAAACAAACACACAACAUUCAAACGAACGACAAACUCUGAAUGCUCGAUACAGAUGACAAAUUUCAAAGAUACACGCAAAAAAAAAAAAAAAAAACAAGUAACGAAAAGAAAAAAAGAAUUCAAAUGGCAAACCACCGCACCUCACCUCACUCAAUCAAUUCUUCUAUUUCCCUAUUUCUCUGCCACCCGCGUUCGACGACGCCGUUGGACUCGACAACGCCCCGUUUCUUCUUCUCUUCUUCGACGACGACAACAACGACAACAACAACAACAACAACAACAACAACAACAACAACAACAACGGAUGGGAAAUUCCGCGUGCACUUGAUCUCGUGUGCGUGAACGUCGUAUGAACAACUGUCCAACCUGCCCCGCAAUGGCUUCUCCCUCCCAACGACAACGACGAUGGACGUACGCGAUUUUUAUCCGGUGUGAUACACGUACAAAACGAUAAAAAAAAAAAAAAAAACAACAA
RNAcentral lists this unclassified non-coding RNA (7483 nucleotides) under Neodiprion lecontei (redheaded pine sawfly). Its description in RNAcentral is "potassium voltage-gated channel protein Shal, transcript variant X8". The stretch from base 2926 to 3039 matches the Rfam family "Potassium channel RNA editing signal". Lineage: Eukaryota; Metazoa; Arthropoda; Insecta; Hymenoptera; Diprionidae. The record is from RNAcentral.